RNAcentral lists this long non-coding RNA (214 nucleotides) under Pongo abelii (Sumatran orangutan). Its description in RNAcentral is "lincRNA". The record is from RNAcentral. Lineage: Eukaryota; Metazoa; Chordata; Mammalia; Primates; Hominidae.
CUACCUCGCUGGCUUUGAGCACAACCCAGGAAGAAGUUCAAAACCAAGAAAAUGGUGUUUGGCAAGACCAGGAUGCACAAUGGCAAGAUAUUGGAUGGAGAAAUGGAUUCAGAUGGAGGCAUCAUUGAGCUUAUUCUUGACUCAUCUCAGUCCAAACAUUACUUUCUCAAUCGUUGUUCUUAAAAUCUGCAUAUUAAAAGCUCAUCAUCAACUA